AAAUAAAUAUAGUUUUACUUACUAGUCUUUAACUAGAAUGAAAGUACGGCUUUGUGUGGAGGUUCCGGUCGCAGACACCCAUGAUCUUUGACCGUGAGGAACUGAUUCAUCAACACCGAAGCUCUUCCCGUCCACAACACAGAUCUGAGGCGUCUGAGGAUUGAGGAGUAAUAUCAGACACCGUCUGUAUCCCCAUCAUCCAGACCUAGCAGCAGAAGUGGAUCUGUAACGGGUCCAGAUCAGGAUUUAAUGACGAUCAGCUGAUCUCUCGUAGACGCUGUGCUGGUUUCCAUUGGUAACGGGCACGCGCACAGAUUUCACCGUAACCCGUCCGUUUCCGCUGCUGGGGACCAGACAUGACUUCAAAACAGAAGAAGGGGCUCAGAGGCUCUAUAGAUGACGUGUUAGGAGAUCUGCUGGGUGAUGAAGAUGAUGAUGAAGGUCCAGUGAAGGUGCGCUCACCUGCAGUCGUGUCCAGCAGAGCCACAGCCGUCCCCCCGACCCGCAGCGGGAAGAGGUGAGCUCU
Carassius auratus (goldfish) is the source of this 526-nucleotide long non-coding RNA. RefSeq lists it as uncharacterized. The record is from RefSeq and is a predicted model, not a curated record. Lineage: Eukaryota; Metazoa; Chordata; Actinopteri; Cypriniformes; Cyprinidae. The transcript has 4 exons.